This 495-nucleotide ribosomal RNA is filed under the name uncultured bacterium. Its description in RNAcentral is "partial 16S ribosomal RNA". It matches the Rfam family "Bacterial small subunit ribosomal RNA", at positions 30 to 507 of the family's 1533-position model. The record is from RNAcentral.
UGAACGCUGGCGGCGUGCCUAAUACAUGCAAGUCGAGCGAACGGACGAGAAGCUUGCUUCUCUGAUGUUAUCGGCGGACGGGUGAGUAACACGUGUAUAACCUACCUAUAAGACUGGGAUAACUUCUGGAAACCGGAGCUAAUACCGGAUGAUAUUUUGAACCGCAUGGUUCAAAAGUGAAAGACGGUCUUGCUGUCACUUAUAGAUGGAUCCGCGCUGCAUUAGCUAGUUGGUAAGGUAACGGCUUACCAAGGCAACGAUGCGUAGACGACCUGAGAGGGUGAUCGGCCACACUGGAAGUGAGACACGGACCAGACUCCUACGGGAGGCAGCAGUAGGGAAUCUUACGCAAUGGGCGAAAGCGUGACGGAGCAACGCCGCGUGAGUGAUGAAGGUCUUCGGAUCGUAAAACUCUGUUAUUAGGGAAGAACAUAUGUGUAAGUAAAUGUGCACAUCUUGACGGUAACUAAUCAGAAAGCCACGGCUAACUACGUG